This 253-nucleotide ribosomal RNA is filed under the name uncultured bacterium. Its description in RNAcentral is "partial 16S ribosomal RNA". It matches the Rfam family "Bacterial small subunit ribosomal RNA", at positions 524 to 776 of the family's 1533-position model. The record is from RNAcentral.
UACGAAGGGUGCAAGCGUUACUCGGAAUUACUGGGCGUAAAGCGUGCGUAGGUGGUGAGUUAAGUCUGAUGUGAAAUCCCCGGGCUCAACCUGGGAAUGGCAUUGGAUACUGGCUCGCUGGAGUGCGGUAGAGGGCGGUGGAAUUCCCGGUGUAGCAGUGAAAUGCGUAGAGAUCGGGAGGAACAUCUGUGGCGAAGGCGGCCACCUGGACCAGCACUGACACUGAGGCACGAAAGCGUGGGGAGCAAACAGG